AUGAACUUCCAGCCCCGGCAAAGACUGUCACCUGCUGAACCAACAUGUGAUAGGGAGAUCAUAGAGGUGAGUUAACGUGCUGGUUCUAGCCUAGCCCUUUAUUGAAUGAUUUGACUAGCUCGCAAAAGAGUUGAAAAGUGGAUGAAACAAAAAGAAAAUGGUUGGCCUCUUAAUCAUGUGCCCCUUUCCAUUUCCGUAUUCUCCAAUGAUUAUGAAAAGACCGCUAGCUAUAGAGCCAGGUAGUAGCUAUCUAUAAUCGUUGGCGAAAGUGCUAAAAGAAUCCCUCUAUAUAGCUAUAUCGAAAAAAGGACGAACGUACCAUCUUUGAGGUCGGUCAACUAAAGAGAGGACUUUCCGGGUGUUGAUGACUGAGUAGCGGAUUCUAUUUCCAGCAGCAUAGUAUAUAUUAUAGGGAUAUCUGUCCGAAAAACAUCUGCUUUAGAGUGAGUUUCUCUCAUUCCUGCCCGGACCGUCACAUCAUGCAAUUACCGUAAUAAACCACUUACGAAGAGAAGAGAUCUUGUCUGCCUUUAGCGAAUCCUAAAAUGCCAGUAAAUUCACUGCUAUAGCUUCACUUACUGCCAGUUGAUAGUGCGUUUAAAAGGCAGGAUUGGGAUAGGAAAUGAAAACUAGAAUUCCGGGAAAGGGCAUUAGCUAAAUCCCAGCCAGGCAGUUGAAACACCUCCCCGAAGGGCCUACCUUAUUUAUGAGUUAAGAGUUAAGGCAAGCAAGUGAUCACUAAAUCUUACUGAGUCCGAUGGAUCCAAUAGUCUUUCAAUACAUAAUAGUACAAUGGGAUCAU
This 802-nucleotide unclassified non-coding RNA is filed under the name Hevea brasiliensis (rubber tree). Lineage: Eukaryota; Viridiplantae; Streptophyta; Magnoliopsida; Malpighiales; Euphorbiaceae. The record is from RNAcentral.